This 908-nucleotide ribosomal RNA is filed under the name uncultured bacterium. Its description in RNAcentral is "bacterial SSU rRNA". It matches the Rfam family "Bacterial small subunit ribosomal RNA", at positions 335 to 1235 of the family's 1533-position model. The record is from RNAcentral.
ACUCCUACGGGAGGCAGCAGUGGGGAAUUUUGGACAAUGGGGGCAACCCUGAUCCAGCCAUGCCGCGUGCGGGAAGAAGGCCUUCGGGUUGUAAACCGCUUUCGGCCGGAACGAAAUCGCCGGGGAGAACAUCCCCGGUGGAUGACGGUACUGUAAGAAGAAGCACCGGCUAACUACGUGCCAGCAGCCGCGGUAAUACGUAGGGUGCGAGCGUUAAUCGGAAUUACUGGGCGUAAAGCGUGCGCAGGCGGUUUUGUAAGCCAGAUGUGAAAUCCCCGGGCUCAACCUGGGAAUUGCAUUUAAAACUGUCCAGCUAGAGUCUUGUAGAGGGGGGUAGAAUUCCAGGUGUAGCGGUGAAAUGCGUAGAGAUCAGGAGGAACACCGAUGGCGAAGGCAGCCCCCUGGGCUAACACUGACGCUCAUGCACGAAAGCGUGGGGAGCAAGCAGGAUUAGAUACCCUGGUAGUCCACGCCCUAAACGAUGUCAACUAGGUGUUGGGGAAGGAGACUUCUUUAGUACCGCAGCUAACGCGUGAAGUUGACCGCCUGGGGAGUACGGUCGCAAGAUUAAAACUCAAAGGAAUUGACGGGGACCCGCACAAGCGGUGGAUUAUGUGGAUUAAUUCGAUGCAACGCGAAAAACCUUACCUACCCUUGACAUCCCAGGAGCCUCGCAGAGAUGUGAGGGUGCCCGAAAGGGAACCUGGAGACAGGUGCUGCAUGGCUGUCGUCAGCUCGUGUCGUGAGAUGUUGGGUUAAGUCCCGCAACGAGCGCAACCCUUGCCACUAGUUGCUACAUUCAGUUGGGCACUCUAAUGAGACUGCCGGUGACAAACCGGAGGAAGGUGGGGAUGACGUCAAGUCCUCAUGGCCCUUAUGGGUAGGGCUUCACACGUAAUACAAUGGCG